AAUUGGCAUCCAACAAGAUCACAAAGUUCAUCAGCAUUGAUGGUUAUUCUGGACGUCUUCCUCUGGAGGUUGCUUUGCAAAUUCUUGCAAAUAAAGGCCCCAGGGUGGAGGAAAUCGUUCAGCUUCUGGACUGGCGGCUGGAUCCUGACUAUUACUUUAUGGUCCUAGAGCGGCCCGUGCCCUGUCAGUCCUUGUUUCAGUAUUUAAAGUGCUACAAGGGCAUCAUGGACGAGGACUUUGCUCGAGUUAUAAUGAACCAGGCAAUAUUUGCGGCUCGGAUGUGCUGCCUUCGUGGAGUGUUGCACCGGGACAUAAAGCUGGAAAACCUUCUGAUCAACCCGGACACACUCGAAGUCAAAUUGAUUGACUUUGGUUGUGGUGCAAUCCUCACCGACGGGGGUUACACGUCCUUUACUGGCACAAGAGAGUACUGCCCUCCUGAGUAUCACAUGACCGGCCAGUACCACGGGGAACCAGCGACAGUGUGGUCACUCGGGAUCCUCUUGUUUGUGAUUCUUUUCAGUAAAUAUCCAAAGAGACGACACCUGCACGAGAUUAACGAUAAAAACUGGACUAAAGCUGGCCUGUCGAAAGAAUGCUGCGAUUUAAUUCGCCGGUGUCUACAGAUCGACCCAAAGCAGCGGAUUGAACUGGGGAAACUCAGUCUCCACGACUGGCUUAUGACUGCAGACAAGGAGAAUAACAACGACACAAUAAUGGACAUCAAUUCAUGCCGUUAUGAAAUCGUCUGUCAGCUGGGUGAUGGAGGCUUUGGAACCGUUUAUGCAGCGACUCGUUUGGACGACGGCCUACAGGUGGCGAUAAAAGUCGUCUCCAGCAGGAACAGAAUGUUCAUCAGUAUUGACGGUUGUUCCAAGCCUCUUCCUCUGGAGGUUGCUUUGCAAAUCCUUGCAGACGGAGACCCCAGGGUCGAGGAAAUCAUCCAGCUUCUGGACUGGCGGGUGGAGUCUGACCACUACAUUUUGGUGCUAGAGCGUCCCGUUCCCUUUGAGGAACUGAACUGGUUUCUCCUGCAGCAAAUGGGUACCAUUCAAGAGGACAUGGCACGAGUUAUAAUGCGCCAGGCAACAUUCGCAGCUCAAACAUGCUGCAGACGUGGAGUGUUUCAUCAGGACAUAAAGCUGGAAAAGCUUCUGAUCAACCCGGACACACUCAAAGUCAAGUUAACUGACUUUGGGUGUGGUGACUUCCUCAGCUGUGUGGGUUACACGUCCUUUGUUGGCACAAGAGAGUACUGCCCUCCUGAGUAUCACAUGACCGGCCAGUACCACGGGGAACCAGCGACAGUGUGGUCACUCGGGAUCCUCUUGUUUCUUAUGCUGUGUGGGGAUUUUCCAAAUACACCAGACCUGCACAUGAUCGACGGUCACAACUGGACCAAAGAUGGCUUGUCGGAAGAAUGCAGCGAUUUUAUUUGCUGCUGUCUGCAAAUCAAUCCAAAAGAGCGGAUUGAACUGGAGAAACUUAGUCUCCACGACUGGUUUAUGGAUUGCUGAAAUGAGGGGAGCAAAAGAAAAUAGUGAUCAACUGGAAGUUCCUUGUGAAGAACAGAGGACACGUUGUGUACGAAUGUGCAAUUAGAAGAAAAUUUUAAUAUGAAAGCUCAGAAUAUGUUUUUCAGCCAUUUUGACAGCCCUACAACUUCCCCUUUAUUUGCAUCUGGAGGUGAGCUGAGCGCCCAAUGUGCAAAGACUCCUAAAGAACCGGACAGCAGAUCUCCCUGUCCUCCGCAACGCCGGCCACUGCUCUCCUGGUUACAGGUAAGAUGGCCCAAGGCGAUGCUCAGUUUCUGAACACUUCUCUUGUAGUCAGAUAAAAAGCUGAGGAAGAGUGUGUGCAUAAAGAAGAAGAAAAGGCUCGUAGGGAGCUGAUCAAACAAUGAACAAUAAGACCCAGGUUUCAUCCUCUAAUGCACCAUGAACUAAUGAAAAAUGUCCAAGUGUCCGAUGUAUAAAACAGGUAUAUGCCACUACACUAUAUACUUGGUUUAGAUGUUGUUGAGCAUCACUAGACAGUUACACCAUGAUUUAAUUAUCAUAUUGCUAAUGCAUAUAGGACAACAGCAUGAAAACAGUUGUUGUAGGUACAUUUUAAAAAUUUGCUAGGUUAGUCUGAGAGGUUGCUAAAUAUUGAAAAAAAAUUGCUAACACCAACAGAGAGUCCUUCUGGAGUUACACGUUCCCUUAUAUGGAUAGGAAAGAAAUGUAACUGUUAAUUAUAAAGUGUGAGUAAAAGGGAAACUUAGCUGUCUUGCUGAAUUGUUUCAGUUUCUCAUCCAUAAUAGCAUCAGUGCAGUGUGUAAAAGUGGAAA
Carassius auratus (goldfish) is the source of this 2332-nucleotide RNA transcript. It is a transcript of the gene named serine/threonine-protein kinase pim-2-like, with no coding region annotated. The transcript is spliced from 13 exons. The record is from RefSeq and is a predicted model, not a curated record. Lineage: Eukaryota; Metazoa; Chordata; Actinopteri; Cypriniformes; Cyprinidae.